This 318-nucleotide ribosomal RNA is filed under the name Triticum aestivum (bread wheat). RNAcentral describes it as "partial small subunit ribosomal RNA". Lineage: Eukaryota; Viridiplantae; Streptophyta; Magnoliopsida; Poales; Poaceae. The record is from RNAcentral.
AUGAGGUAUUUCAAAUCCAUUAAUCUCUUCGUGGAGUUAUCUUGUGUCAUAUUUCACCUAAAGCCUUCCCUAAGGAAUGUUGUUAUUGUGGUGCUUAUCAAUGAUCCAAGUUUUCUCCUAUCCUCUCGGCGAAAGCAGUUUUUCAUCUCUUCGUUGAUCUCAAGCAAGCAAUUGUUUUCCGUUAGUGGCACAAUUUCACCUCAAGUGUUGAGAUGUUUCAAUAAGCCCACUACAAGCUUAUUCGUUUCGUUGUUGAUUUUCCAACAACUUCGUUCAAUCCUUCUUUCUAUGGUUGCUCUUCAAAUUCACUGGUGGUAG